This 206-nucleotide long non-coding RNA is filed under the name Setaria viridis. RNAcentral's name for it is "long non-coding RNA (SVIR_LNC003234)". Lineage: Eukaryota; Viridiplantae; Streptophyta; Magnoliopsida; Poales; Poaceae. The record is from RNAcentral.
CAUCUUCUGCACCAGUAGUGCGUCGAGUGGUAAUCCCGUGAUCCCUAUACGACAGUUCUUCCUAGUUAUACGCGGUAGAUUUUUUGAAUUGCGCUAGUGUAGCCUACCUCGUAUCCCAACAGUGGUAUCAAGAGCCGUAGCUGCUUAGUUUUGGAUUCGGGAUGUGUUAUGCGAGUUUUCUGUUUGAUCUAUGUCCUGGUUUCGUG